This 484-nucleotide ribosomal RNA is filed under the name uncultured bacterium. RNAcentral's name for it is "partial 16S ribosomal RNA". It matches the Rfam family "Bacterial small subunit ribosomal RNA", at positions 30 to 507 of the family's 1533-position model. The record is from RNAcentral.
AUUGAACGCUGGCGGCAGGCCUAACACAUGCAAGUCGAGCGGAUGAAGGGAGCUUGCUCCUGGAUUCAGCGGCGGACGGGUGAGUAAUGCCUAGGAAUCUGCCUGGCAGUGGGGGAUAACGUCCGGAAACGGGCGCUAAUACCGCAUACGUCCUGAGGGAGAAAGUGGGGGAUCUUCGGACCUCACGCUAUCAGAUGAGCCUAGGUCGGAUUAGCUAGUUGGUGGGGUAAAGGCCUACCAAGGCGACGAUCCGUAACUGGUCUGAGAGGAUGAUCAGUCACACUGGAACUGAGACACGGUCCAGACUCCUACGGGAGGCAGCAGUGGGGAAUAUUGGACAAUGGGCGAAAGCCUGAUCCAGCCAUGCCGCGUGGGUGAAGAAGGUCUUCGGAUUGUAAAGCACUUUAAGUUGGGAGGAAGGGCAGUAAGUUAAUACCUUGCUGUUUUGACGUUACCAACAGAAUAAGCACCGGCUAACUUCGUG